GUCAUAGAGGAGCUGCUUGAUGAGCUACACGGUGCGCAAUGGUUCUCUAAAUUAGACUUGCGCGCGGGCUACCACCAGAUUCGGUUAGCAGAGGGGGAAGAAUUCAAAACUGCCUUUCAGACGCAUUCAGGACAGUAUGAGUUCAAAGUUCUCUCGUUUGGAUUAGUAGGAGGGCCAGGUACUUUCAAUGGAGCAAUAACAGAAACGAUGCAUCCUCUCCUGCGACACUGCGUCCUACUGUUCUUCGAUGAUAUUCUUGUUUUCAGCAAGACCUGGGAGGAUCACGUGGCGCACCUCAGACAGGUCCUCGAGCUUCUGCGUCGUGACCAAUGGAAAGUGAAGCGGUCCAAAUGCGAGUUUGGUCAG
Molecule: ribosomal RNA, 366 nt
Filed under: Triticum aestivum (bread wheat)
Lineage: Eukaryota; Viridiplantae; Streptophyta; Magnoliopsida; Poales; Poaceae
Description: partial small subunit ribosomal RNA
Source: RNAcentral